Trichonephila clavipes is the source of this 95-nucleotide non-coding RNA. The record is from the annotation of a GenBank genome assembly. NCBI's taxonomy places the organism in Eukaryota, Metazoa, Arthropoda, Arachnida, Araneae, Nephilidae.
GGUAGCGUGGCCGGGCGGUGUAAGGCGCAGAUUGAAGGCACCAGUCUUACCGAAUUCGAGUUCCGGAGGCGUGGGUUCGAAUCCCACCGCUGCCA